AGUGAACGCUGGCGGUAGGCCUAACACAUGCAAGUCGAACGGCAGCACAGUAAGAGCUUGCUCUUACGGGUGGCGAGUGGCGGACGGGUGAGGAAUACAUCGGAAUCUACUUUUUCGUGGGGGAUAACGUAGGGAAACUUACGCUAAUACCGCAUACGACCUACGGGUGAAAGCAGGGGAUCUUCGGACCUUGCGCGAUUGAAUGAGCCGAUGUCGGAUUAGCUAGUUGGCGGGGUAAAGGCCCACCAAGGCGACGAUCCGUAGCUGGUCUGAGAGGAUGAUCAGGCAAAAUUGAACUGAGACACGGUCCAGACUCCUAAGGGAGGCAGCAGGGGGGAAUAUUGGACAAUGGGCGGAAGCCUGAUCCAGCCAUACCGCGUGGGUGAAGAAGGCCUUCGGGUUGUAAAGCCCUUUUGUCGGGAAAGAAAAGCAGCAGGUUAAUACCCCGCUGUUCUGACGGUACCCAAAGAAUAAGCACCGGCUAACUUCGUG
This 492-nucleotide ribosomal RNA is filed under the name uncultured bacterium. RNAcentral describes it as "partial 16S ribosomal RNA". It matches the Rfam family "Bacterial small subunit ribosomal RNA", at positions 29 to 507 of the family's 1533-position model. The record is from RNAcentral.